This 440-nucleotide ribosomal RNA is filed under the name uncultured bacterium. RNAcentral describes it as "partial 16S ribosomal RNA". It matches the Rfam family "Bacterial small subunit ribosomal RNA", at positions 338 to 795 of the family's 1533-position model. The record is from RNAcentral.
CCUACGGGCGGCAGCAGUGGGGGAUAUUGCACAAUGGGGGAAACCCUGAUGCAGCGACGCCGCGUGGGUGAAGAAGCGCCUCGGCGCGUAAAGCCCUGUCAGCAGGGAAGAAAAUGACGGUACCUGAAGAAGAAGCCCCGGCUAACUACGUGCCAGCAGCCGCGGUAAUACGUAGGGGGCAAGCGUUAUCCGGAUUUACUGGGUGUAAAGGGGGCGCAGACGGCGAUGCAAGCCAGGAGUGAAAGCCCGGGGCCCAACCCCUGGACUGCUCUUGGAACUGCGUGGCUAGAGUGCAGGAGGGACAGGCGGAAUUCCUGGUGUAGCGGUGAAAUGCGUAGAUAUCAGGAGGAACACCGGUGGCGAAGGCGGCCUGCUGGACUGCAACUGACGUUGAGGCCCGAAAGCGUGGGGAGCAAACAGGAUUAGAUACCCCAGUAGUC